This 440-nucleotide ribosomal RNA is filed under the name uncultured bacterium. Its description in RNAcentral is "partial 16S ribosomal RNA". It matches the Rfam family "Bacterial small subunit ribosomal RNA", at positions 338 to 795 of the family's 1533-position model. The record is from RNAcentral.
CCUACGGGAGGCUGCAGUGGGGAAUAUUGCACAAUGGGGGAAACCCUGAUGCAGCGACGCCGCGUGAGUGAAGAAGUAUUUCGGUAUGUAAAGCUCUAUCAGCAGGGAAGAAAAUGACGGUACCUGAUUAAGAAGCCCCGGCUAACUACGUGCCAGCAGCCGCGGUAAUACGUAGGGGGCAAGCGUUAUCCGGAUUUACUGGGUGUAAGGGGAGCGUAGACGGCAGCACAAGUCUGGAGUGAAAUGCCGGGGCUUAACCCCGGAACUGCUUUGGAAACUGUGCAGCUAGAGUGCAGGAGAGGUAAGUGGAAUUCCUAGUGUAGCGGUGAAAUGCGUAGAUAUUAGGAGGAACACCAGUGGCGAAGGCGGCUUACUGGACUGUAACUGACGUUGAGGCUCGAAAGCGUGGGGAGCAAACAGGAUUAGAUACCCCUGUAGUC